GCGAUGCGAUUGAGCCAUUGAGCGAUGGGCAGGGUUAACUGGACUUUUUCUCCUGCCUUGGGGGGGGGGGGGGGGGAUGUGGAUUCUUUUAAGAAUGUGGAUUUUUGGGUCAUCUUUGGCGCCCCCUAGAACGUAAACCAUGGUGUGCAGCAGCAUGAUUUUUACAACUUUGAAUGGCCAUGGGAUGUAGAUCGGCUUGAGCAAAUUUGGUGUCGGUGGGAAGAAAGCCUUAGGAGGAGUUAGCCACAUUCCAAUGUGUGCGAAUCGGCAAAAAAUGCGAAAUAGCCCUUUAACCGUACAUUUUACAGAUACGUGCCCAUUGACUUUUUCGUAGAUCUUAUUGAGAUACACGUGUGUGUCAAAUUUUGUGUCAUUUUGACAAAGCGUAUAGGCGUGACAGUCAACAAUGUGUUUUUUCAUCUUAGGGGACAAGAAAAAAUGGACUUUUUUCUCCUGCCAUGGGGGGGCGCUCUUUUCGGGAGUAAAAAUUCCUUUACAAAUGUGUUGAUGGCUGGACAUUGCAUCAUCCUAGAAAACUUGGAGGCCAGUGAGGACAAAAAUAAAAAGUUAUAAGACUAUUAAGAAUGUGGAUUUUUGGGUUAUCUUUGGCGCCCCCUAGAACGUAAACCGUGGAGUGCAGCGUCAUGAUUUGUACAACUUUUAAUGGCCAUGGGGUGUAGAUUGGCCUGAGCAAAUUUGGUGGCGGUGGAACUAAAGCCUUCGGAGGAGUUAGCGAAAUUCCAAUGUGUGCGGAUCGGGAAAAAAUGCAAAAUAACCCUUUAACCGUACAUUUGACAGAUACGUGCCCAUUGACUUUUUCGUAGAUCUUAUUGAGAUUCACGUGAUUGUCAAAUUUUGGGUCAAUAUGACAAAGCGUAUAGGCGUGACACUCAACAAUGUGUAUUUUCACCUUAGGGGACAAGAAAAAAUGGACUUUUUUCUCCUGCCAUGUGGGGGCGCUCUUUUGGGGAGUAAAAAUUCCUUCACAAAUGUGUUGAUGGCUGGACAUUGCAUCAUCCUAGAGAACUUGGAGGCCAGUGAGGACAAAAAUAAAAAGUUAUAAGACUUUUAAGACUGUGGAUUUUUGGGUUAUCUUUGGCGCCCCCUAGAACGUAAGCCGUGGGGUGCAGCGUCAUGAUUUGUACAACUUUUAAUGGCCAUGGGGUGUAGAUUGGCCUGAGCAAAUGUGGUGCCGGUGGAACGAAUGCCUUCGGAGGAGUUAGCGAAAUUCCAAUGUGUGCAGAUCGGCAAAAAAUGCGAAAUAACCCUCUAACCGUACAUUUCACAGAUGCGCCCGCGCUGACUUUUUCGUAGACCAUAUUGAGAUACACGUGUGUGUCAAAUUUUGUGUCAAUAUGACAAAGCGUACAGCCGUGACAGUCAAUAGUGUGAAUUUUCGCCUUAGGGGGCGCUAUGGAGCCAUUUUGAAUUUUAUUGUUUGGGCGACUUCAGAAUAUCGAAUUUUUCACCAGGCCCGGUCGUCCUGCCAAAUUUCAUGAGUUUUCGCCAGUGGGAAGUGGGCCAUUUUCCCCUUCAAAGGGGAGGAAAAAUAAGAAGAAAGAAAGAAAGAAAGAAAGAAAGAAAAAAAAGAAGAAAGAAAAACCUAUACAGGAAUAAUAGGGCUCUACGCCCGGCUGCUCUGCAGCUGGCUCGGGCCCUAAUAACUAGGACCCCGUUGGGGCACUGGCGGGCCCGAGCCGUGUCGCCCCCCCCCCCCCCCCAACGUGCUGCCUCCCCGUCCCAUUUGUGUCCUCUGGCCAUCGCCCUCUCUGGUAACGCCCAUCACUGCAAAGACCCUUUUCCUUCAUCAGCGUUUGCUGUUCUUCCUGCCAGUGCGUGUUGCUUUCACUUACACUUGCCACAGCCAGCCUCGUGAGUGCCUAGCCUAUUCGAUAUCACUGUCACCUACACAGGACAGUCAUUACCUUUCUAUUAAUACUUUGUGGUUUAAUUUCACAUUAAUUUCCAUAUUGUAUAAAUGACUGGAAAAAACUUGAGCCCCUGCCCCUGUAUAA
Molecule: long non-coding RNA, 2015 nt
Filed under: Xyrichtys novacula (pearly razorfish)
Lineage: Eukaryota; Metazoa; Chordata; Actinopteri; Labriformes; Labridae
Source: RNAcentral